Molecule: ribosomal RNA, 256 nt
Filed under: uncultured bacterium
Lineage: Bacteria
Description: partial 16S ribosomal RNA
Rfam family: Bacterial small subunit ribosomal RNA
Source: RNAcentral
UACGUAGGGUGCAAGCGUUAAUCGGAAUUACUGGGCGUAAAGCGUGCGCAGGCGGUUUUGUAAGUUUGUCGUGAAAGCCCCGGGCUCAACCUGGGAAUUGCGAUGAAGACUGCAAGGCUUGAAUCUGGCAGAGGGGGGGUAGAAUUCCACGUGUAGCAGUGAAAUGCGUAGAGAUGUGGAGGAACACCGAUGGCGAAGGCAGCCCCCCUGGGUCAAGAUUGACGCUCGAUGCACGAAAGCGUGGGGAGCAAACAGG